This 628-nucleotide ribosomal RNA is filed under the name Bacillus toyonensis. RNAcentral's name for it is "partial 23S ribosomal RNA". The stretch from base 448 to 628 matches the Rfam family "Bacterial small subunit ribosomal RNA", at positions 1 to 176 of the family's 1533-position model. Lineage: Bacteria; Bacillati; Bacillota; Bacilli; Caryophanales; Bacillaceae. RNAcentral also lists the same sequence under 1 other name. The record is from RNAcentral.
GAUUUGCUUGGGCUUAUGUUGACGAAAGAAGAGAAAAAAGAAAUGGAAUACAUAUUGAAGAGAGAGUUAGAGGAACUUUUAUUUGAUUUUGAAGAUGAGCGUAUUCAUGAGGUUGUAAAAAAAGCGAUGGAAGAAAGAUAUAAAAUCAUUUUUUGUUUAUUUCGAAGAGUUGCUAACGCAGAAGAAUGUAUUCGUUAUGUAAGAAAAAGAAUUUUUUAUUAAAAAGUGUUGACGUUAAUGAUUAGUAUAUGGUAAAUUAAUAAACGUCGCUGAUGCGGAAACGCAGAAAACGACAAAAAAGAAAUUGAAAAACUUAGUUGACAUCGAAAAACGAAGAUGUUAACAUAAGGAAGUCGCAAAUGAGCGACCAAGUAGUUCUUUGAAAACUGAACGAAACAAACAACGUGAAACGUCAAUUUUUAUUUUUAGAUGCUAGACAAACUAACUUUAUUGGAGAGUUUGAUCCUGGCUCAGGAUGAACGCUGGCGGCGUGCCUAAUACAUGCAAGUCGAGCGAAUGGAUUGAGAGCUUGCUCUCAAGAAGUUAGCGGCGGACGGGUGAGUAACACGUGGGUAACCUGCCCAUAAGACUGGGAUAACUCCGGGAAACCGGGGCUAAUACCGGAUAA